Molecule: small nucleolar RNA, 128 nt
Organism: Mesocricetus auratus (golden hamster)
Lineage: Eukaryota; Metazoa; Chordata; Mammalia; Rodentia; Cricetidae
Source: Ensembl
AAGCCAAUUAAUCUGCUUAUCUGUAUAUGUUUCUGCAAAAAUCUAGAAAGAGCUGGCAGUAAUGUUGUCAAGUAAUGAGCCUUGAGGCCAAGUGGCUGUCUUUAAGAUCCCUAAAAAAGACUAUAUCG